UACGUAGGGUGCGAGCGUUGUCCGGAAUUAUUGGGCGUAAAGAGCUCGUAGGCGGUUUGUCGCGUCUGCUGUGAAAACCUAAGGCUCAACCUUGGGCUUGCAGUGGGUACGGGCAGACUAGAGUGCGGUAGGGGUGACUGGAAUUCCUGGUGUAGCGGUGGAAUGCGCAGAUAUCAGGAGGAACACCGAUGGCGAAGGCAGGUCACUGGGCCGCAACUGACGCUGAG
RNAcentral lists this ribosomal RNA (227 nucleotides) under uncultured bacterium. Its description in RNAcentral is "partial 16S ribosomal RNA". It matches the Rfam family "Bacterial small subunit ribosomal RNA", at positions 524 to 750 of the family's 1533-position model. The record is from RNAcentral.